RNAcentral lists this long non-coding RNA (3819 nucleotides) under Fragaria vesca (wild strawberry). RNAcentral's name for it is "long non-coding RNA (FVES_LNC003586)". The record is from RNAcentral. Lineage: Eukaryota; Viridiplantae; Streptophyta; Magnoliopsida; Rosales; Rosaceae.
UUUCUCCUCCUCCCAACCUCCUUUUGUUUUUCAGCCAUAUCUUGGUCAUCCGAGCUCAGUUUUGGGCAAAUGAGGUACCGUUGGAAAGUUCUCUUGAUUUUGUACAAGUCUGUGGUGGUUUGGUAGCAAAAUUCGAGUAGUUGGAGGUGUAGCAAGGCCGAGAAGCAGUGGUGGCGCCGUUUUGGGUUCUUCGUCGGAACUCCUAAUUCCGGCCACCUUCGGCGACAACUCUUGGGCCUUUUUAAGCUUGUGAGAUAUAUAUGGACCAAUCCCUCCAAGCUUCUUGAACCGACUUGAAGUGUGGAGGGUGAAUUGAGGAUUUGAAAUUCUAGGGUUUCAAUCACCCAUUUCACUUAUGAGGCUUGUCGGUGGCACGUGGAAGCAAGUUGAGAUUUUAAUGGUUCUCUGUUAGGUGCUUGAUUUAAUGUGUGUGAUGCAUUAUCGUGUGUGGCGAGAAGACGCAACAAGAUUGGAGGUGAGUAAAUCUCACUUGGUUCAUAAUGGAACCGUAUUUGCCUUAUAGUUCAUUUAUCGUAAAAUUGUGAAAUCGUUUUCUUGGAAAUGAAGUUUUGUUUUAAAACAUAUGGACUUGAUCGACUACGGUCCAUGGGUAAGUAAAACAUGGUUUUUGAUAUGAAAAUGAUUUUUAAAGGGUUUUGCGAAUAUGGACUAUAAUUGGUAUUAGAGGUUAUUCAAAGCGUAUGUCUCUAGAUGUGAAUAACUAUUCUAUAUAUGUUGAAAUAUAUAUCAUUUUGGAAGAGUAAUUGUUGUGAUGACUAAGUUGAGCUAUUUGUGACUCAUUAGAUGUUCUAAGUCAAAGAACUUAUGCUUGAAUGGUGGAAUUGUGUCUUAAUGGUGAUUGUUUGCAUUAGUUGUGGUUGUAUGCCUUAGUGGUGAAUUGUGUGCAUUAGUUGUGGUUGUGUGCCUUAGUGGUGAUUAAAAGCCUUAGUGGUGGUGACAAUAAACCGAGAACCAAGCCUUGGCUGAGUGAUUGAUUACGGUCAGUUUAGAACUCUAAUUUGUCUGUCUAUACUUCAUGGGGGAUGACUAAGUGUUGAGGAACUCAUGAGUAUGUGUUUGUCUGUCGGUACUUCAUAAGGGAUGACUAAGUGUUGACGAACCCAUGAGUACAUGUUUGUCUAAUUACUUAUGAGGGAUGACUAAGUGUUGUCGAACUCAUAAGUAAUGGUGGAGAAAUGAUUGUGUGAUGUUUUUACGUGUUGUCAUUUAAAUUCCUUACUUUGAGUAUCUCCUAAACUAUGCUUUUUCGCAGUAGAUUUUUUAAUCUUAAUUGUGUGAUUUUAGUGGAAUUCCUGAACUACACUUUUUGCAAGAUUCAUUUAUGAUUUGAUUGAUUUUGAAUUGUCAUGUUUUCUUCUUUACUUUCUUUUGAAUUCUCUUGUUUUAGAUGCUUUCCUGAACUAAGUUUUUAAUGCAUGAAUUACCGGUUACCUUAUGUGAUUUUGGGUUGAAUCCUUUAAUGUAUAUUUACUCAUACGAGCUUUUAAAACUUACUGAGUUCAUUUUUACAACCCGGUGCACCAAUCCAUGGUGUAUGGUUUGAUAUUACAGGUGAGGAUUUUCAAGAUUGAGACGUAAAGGUUUAGAAUAGGAGUUGAAUAUUUUUUUAUUAUUGAAUUGUCUAUUUGUAGUAAGCUCUUUAGAGCGUGACAUUUAUUUGACGGUCUAAUUUCGGUUUUGUUUUUUUCUAGAUAGAUGUAGAUGUUACAGGAAUUAUGAAUUUUUUUUUGGGUUAUCAUGUGAAUUUGAAUUUUUAUUUAUCCAAAAUUCGGGGUGUGACAGUAGUGGUUGCAAAGAGGGAAGCCAGACUUAGCUAAUAUCAAGGCAGAGUUCCAAAUUGCAACUCCUACUCAUGUUGUUGGUUAAUUGAAGAUCGGUGAGAAAUUGAGCACACAAACCCAGCAUUAUAUAUGUGCUGGUGCCUAGGAAGUAUCAGGGUCCGUCAACUUGUCUAGUGUCUAGAACCGAAUGUUAAUAUGCAUCUUCGUGCUAUAGUCAAUUGCAAUAGCUUUACUAAUUACCACCUGGUCUUGUAGUUUGAAAGGUCUCUAAUAUACUUUCUCAGAUUAAAUUUCCAGAAUUUCAAAGAAACUUCUCGUAUGUGUUUUGCUGGAUGUGUUUUGUUGAGUCCUUAAAGUAAGGGUAUAGGUAUUAUUGAAAAUUGAAUGAUUUAUUAGGUGUGAAAAGUAUGUUGUGUCUACUUGGAUAUUUAUUAGGUACAUUUAACAACACCCAUGAUUUAAUUAAGAUCGGUCGCACAUAGUUGAAGUUGUGUUUAUGACUAUCACAAAUUCACAAUUGUAAUAGCUAUGUUGCAACUGUACAAAAUAGCUACUGUGUGUUUAGCACUUUGAUUUAAUUAAGGUUGUUCUAGCUGUGUUUAAUAUUUCGAUUUUCUCAUGGACUAAUGUGUGUUUGUGAUUUGUGUUUAGUACAAAAUAGCUACUGUGUGUUUCCUUAUAGAAAUCUGUAUAUUGCAACUGUGAUGCUAUAACAACUGUACAAGCUAAAAUUUCUCGCACCGUCGAGUUUCAUUGAAUUUUUUUGGAGUGUUACAAUUAGCCAAUGUGACAUUUUAAUCCUAGCUCCGCGGUCAUAUCAUAUUACACUUUUUUAUUUUUGUUGUAUAAAUCUUUGUGUAUUAGUAAUCACAGAAAGAUUUCAUCUGCUUAAAUAAAGCGAAAAGAGGAGUGUGGGUUUAGAGACCGAAGCAGAAAAGAGGAGUGUAGGUUUGCCGUUUGCCUGUGAUUAGGAGUUGGAACGAGUCGUGACGCUUUAGGAGAGAGAGAGAGUGAAGCUGGGGAAAUGCCAAAUGACAUAAACAGAGACGGAUUUGGACCCUUUCGAGUUUCAGACUCUGCAUCUUCGUGCUUAUAUAGAAUAUCCCCCAGGCAUGUAUAAUAUCAUGGUAGUGAAUUUCCCAAACUAGCCAAUGCCAACAUGCACCAUGUGGUCAGAUUAUCGAGGAGUAGAACGUAAUUUAGAGCAGAUUCAGUCAUUCAGUAUUUGAUCAAUAAGUCUGUUAGGCUUUUCUUGUAGAACAACCCUAAAUUUGCAGAUCACCAUCAUAUCAUGUGUCAAUAAAGAAAAAACGUCACGGGAUCAUGAUCUGAAUUAUUUCUGUUAUAAAGGUUCACGACCUUUUCCUUUGUGGCUAAAUAAAGGAUCACGACCUUGCUUGUUCAAGAAAGAAAAGAAAUAAAGGAUGAUGACCUUUAAGAGGUUGAAGAGGUAGACAAACUUCAUACCUGAUCUCGCAGAGAGUGACCAAGGUUAUCAAGACUGAACACCUGCCAUGAAAAUUGUAACAUAUCUACGAGAAGUUUGUUAUUUCGUAUGUCAUCAUUACUUGAUAUUUGUAUUGAGUAAUCAUGUGUUAUGUUUUAUAUUUUGAAAUACUAAAUUUUAUGCUCAUACGAUAUUUAUUUAUUACAAAGACUAUAUUGACACACGACUGAAGUUUAGUUUGUAUAUCAUUUUUCAUGUUAUUAAGAUUAGACAAUGAAACAAUAUAUGGAUCAUCAUUUUGAGAAUUGGACAUUCAAGAAAAAUGGGGAAAUGAGAGAAUAUGUAGACUCGCAUCUUCGACCAUAAUUCAUCAACUAGUAAUUAAGGUCUACAUACUUAGAGUGAUCGAAGAAAAUGAACUGGUUUGCGAGAUGUAUAAUUUAUGUAAGCAUAUGGUAAGUGUAUAUGCAAAUAACUACUUACAUUUUCUGAACUUAAACUAAGUUUGAGAGUAAAUCACUUAAAACACAUAAUUUGUUCCCGACAAAAUACCAAUAUUCAUAACUAGAC